AGUGUUCCGCCGGCCCUGAUCGUAACCAAUGAGAUACAACCGAGGUGCGAUUAUUGCUAGUUGAAAACUAAUACCAACUACGGUAUGCCCGUCCUCAAGAUACAACCUUAUAAUGAAUGGAUUUUCGGUAUAUUCUACGGAAU
Small nuclear RNA from Topomyia yanbarensis, 143 nucleotides. RefSeq annotates it as U4 spliceosomal RNA. The record is from RefSeq and is a predicted model, not a curated record. The transcript has a single exon. NCBI's taxonomy places the organism in Eukaryota, Metazoa, Arthropoda, Insecta, Diptera, Culicidae.